GCUACGAUGGGUAGGGGUUCUUAGUGGAAGAUCCCCCACACUGGCACUGAGAUACGGGCCAGACUCCUACGGGAGGCAGCAGUAGGGAAUAUUGGUCAAUGGGCGAAAGCCUGAACCAGCCAUGCCGCGUGCAGGAUGACAGCUCUCUGAGUUGUAAACUGCUUUUGUACAGGAGCAAAACAAUCCCUGCGGGGGUUCUUGAGAGUACUGUAAGAAUAAGCACCGGCUAAUUCCGUGCCAGCAGCCGCGGUAAUACGGAAGGUGCAAGCGUUAUCCGGUUUUAUUGGGUUUAAAGGGUGCGUAGGCGGCUUAUUAAGUCAGUUGUGAAAUCCUAGUGCUUAACGCUAGAACUGCAAUUGAUACUAUUAGGCUUGAGUUAAGAAUAGGUA
RNAcentral lists this ribosomal RNA (389 nucleotides) under Cardinium endosymbiont of Bemisia tabaci. RNAcentral describes it as "bacterial SSU rRNA". It matches the Rfam family "Bacterial small subunit ribosomal RNA", at positions 273 to 659 of the family's 1533-position model. The record is from RNAcentral. Lineage: Bacteria; Pseudomonadati; Bacteroidota; Cytophagia; Cytophagales; Amoebophilaceae.